RNAcentral lists this ribosomal RNA (274 nucleotides) under uncultured bacterium. RNAcentral describes it as "partial 16S ribosomal RNA". It matches the Rfam family "Bacterial small subunit ribosomal RNA", at positions 523 to 796 of the family's 1533-position model. The record is from RNAcentral.
AUACGAAGGGUGCUAGCGUUGUUCGGAAUUACUGGGCGUAAAGAGCAUGUAGGCGGAUAGAUUAGUCAGAGGUGAAAGCCCCGAGCUCAACUCGGGAACUGCCUUUGAUACUGUUUAUCUAGAGACCGAGAGAGGUGAGUGGAAUUCUCAGUGUAGAGGUGAAAUUCGUAGAUAUUGGGAAGAACACCAGCGGCGAAGGCGGCUCACUGGCUCGGAACUGACGCUGAGAUGCGAAAGCGUGGGGAGCGAACAGGAUUAGAAACCCUAGUAGUCC